UACGUAGGCAGCAAGCGUUGUUCGGAAUUACUGGGCGUAAAGAGUGUGUAGGCGGUGCUCUAAGUUUGGUGUGAAAUCUCCCGGCUCAACUGGGAGGGUGCGCCGAAAACUGGAAUGCUUGAACAUGGGAGAGGAAAGCGGAAUUCCUGGUGUAGCGGUGAAAUGCGUAGAUAUCAGGAGGAACACCUGCGGUGUAGACGGCUUUCUGGACCAUUGUUGACGCUGAGACAGAAAGCGUGGGUAGCAAACAGG
RNAcentral lists this ribosomal RNA (252 nucleotides) under uncultured bacterium. RNAcentral describes it as "partial 16S ribosomal RNA". It matches the Rfam family "Bacterial small subunit ribosomal RNA", at positions 524 to 776 of the family's 1533-position model. The record is from RNAcentral.